The submitters of this non-coding RNA (75 nucleotides) gave its source as unclassified sequences. The record is from Rfam.
GACCCCUGGCGAAGAGUCGCCGACUGUGGCGGCCUGCUCAGAUCAUUGAGUCUGAGCUAGUCAGGGGGGUUUUCU